GCAGCAGCCGCGGUAAUACGUAGGAUGCAAGCGUUAAUCGGAAUUACUGGGCGUAAAGCGUGCGCAGGCGGUUAUAUAAGUCAGAUGUGAAAUCCCCGGGCUCAACCUGGGAACUGCAUUUGAGACUGUAUGGCUAGAGUAUGGCAGAGGGGGGUAGAAUUCCACGUGUAGCAGUGAAAUGCGUAGAGAUGUGGAGGAAUACCGAUGGCGAAGGCAGCCCCCUGGGCCAAUACUGACGCUCAUGCACGAAAGCGGGGGGAGCAAACAGGAUUAGAUACCCGGGUAGUCCCUGUCUCUUAUAC
Molecule: ribosomal RNA, 302 nt
Filed under: uncultured bacterium
Lineage: Bacteria
Description: partial 16S ribosomal RNA
Rfam family: Bacterial small subunit ribosomal RNA
Source: RNAcentral